Molecule: long non-coding RNA, 613 nt
Organism: Amphimedon queenslandica
Lineage: Eukaryota; Metazoa; Porifera; Demospongiae; Haplosclerida; Niphatidae
Exons: 4
Source: RefSeq, a predicted model, not a curated record
ACUUGUAGUAUCUACAGUGACUGGAUCUACUAACAAUUACUACAAUGGUAAGAUACUGACUACUAUACUAAUGGAUAAUAUACCUGUUUGAAUUAUAUAUACUAUCAACAACAAGAACCUACUGGUAAUAAAGGAUUAGAUCUAAUCACAGAUUGUUCUGACAAAAAAUUUGUUGAAUUUAUUAAUAAUUCUAUGACUCCAUUUCCAUUAAAACGUGGUGGAGCAUUACAUUGGAAAGCAGUACUAAAGAUCAAAAGAACCAUACAUUGGGGUAUACUGCAUUUGACAGUAACACAUAACUUCAAAGAUUAUACUAAUAUUACUUUCUUAGAUGACAAAUUCAAUUUAUGCGACUUUUUAGAUGAUUUAAUUAAGGAAUAUUGUCCAAUACAUCCAGGAAUGUAUUAUCUAAACACUCAUACUGCAUUGUCAAGCCACCUUUGGCCAGGUGAGUAUUAUGGUAAAGUAACUGCUUACAAUGAGAAAGGAGAGCAAAUGAUAUGUCUAAUGAAGCAAGGAACCAUUAAAUAAUGAACAUAUUAUUGACACUUGCAUGCAGUAUAUACUUCAUAAAUAGACAAAAUGUUAUAAUAUUUAGAGUAGAAGCACCAGU